Molecule: long non-coding RNA, 432 nt
Organism: Ipomoea triloba (trilobed morning glory)
Lineage: Eukaryota; Viridiplantae; Streptophyta; Magnoliopsida; Solanales; Convolvulaceae
Exons: 3
Source: RefSeq, a predicted model, not a curated record
CUUAAGUUAUAUAUUCUUGAUGUUUGUAAUUGGAAAUUUCAAUAGCCUCACUGAUAAACAACAGCAUCAUUUUAUUUUAUUUUUACAAGGUUGGAUAUUUCUUUGCUUUUGACUUGUGUCAUUCUGUUUAGGUUUCAUAAUUCAGUCAGACAUUGAUGAAUUGUGUGUUGUCCCUUGCUUUGCUAAUAUGGUGGAAGAUGCUUUCGUUGUUUUGUACAACAUACUUGCAAGCAGACCUGAAAUAUCAGAGAUUUAAUGUGUCAAGGAUGCAAAAGUUCCUUUAAUGCGUUUUAAAUUUGAUGGGAUCCCCGUUGAUCUUCCAUAUGGUCAACUUAAAGUAGUAUCCAUUCCAGAGAAUGUGAAUGUCUUCAACCCAUUCUUUAUAAGGAAUAUUGAUGAGAGCAAUUGGAAAAGUUUAUCCGGAAUACGUGC